Molecule: unclassified non-coding RNA, 499 nt
Filed under: uncultured Glomus
Lineage: Eukaryota; Fungi; Glomeromycota; Glomeromycetes; Glomerales; Glomeraceae
Description: SSU rRNA
Rfam family: Eukaryotic small subunit ribosomal RNA
Source: RNAcentral
CCAAUAGCGUAUAUUAAAGUUGUUGCAGUUAAAAAGCUCGUAGUUGAAUUUCGGGAUCAAGUCGUCGGUCGUGCCUCGGUACGCACUGGUGACAUUGGUUUCUCCCUUCUGAAGAACCUUGAUGUCAUUAAUUUGGUGUCUUGGGGAAUCAGGACUGUUACUUUGAAAAAAUUAGAGUGUUUAAAGCAGGCUCACGCUUGAAUACAUUAGCAUGGAAUAAUGAAAUAGGACGUUUGAUUCUAUUUUGUUGGUUUCUAGGAUCGACGUAAUGAUUAAUAGGGAUAGUUGGGGGCAUUAGUAUUCAAUUGUCAGAGGUGAAAUUCUUGGAUUUAUUGAAGACUAACUACUGCGAAAGCAUUUGCCAAGGAUGUUUUCAUUAAUCAAGAACGAAAGUUAGGGGAUCGAAGACGAUCAGAUACCGUCGUAGUCUUAACCAUAAACUAUGCCGACUAGGGAUCAGAUGAUGUUAAUUUUUUAAUGCCUCAUUCGGCGCCUUACG